UGGGGGAUAUUGCACAAUGGGCGAAAGCCUGAUGCAGCGACGCCGCGUGGGGGAUGAAGGCCUUCGGGUUGUAAACUUCUUUUGCUCUGAACAAGGCAUGCCUUUGGGGUGUGUUGAGUGUAGGGGUUGAUUAGCGCCGGCUAACUACGUGCCAGCAGCCGCGGUAAUACGUAGGGCGCGAGCGUUGUCCGGAAUUAUUGGGCGUAAAGGGCUUGUAGGUGGCUGGUUGCGUCUGUCGUGAAAGCUCAUGGCUUAACUGUGGGUUUGCGGUGGGUACGGGCUGGCUUGAGUGCAGUAGGGGAGGCUGGAAUUCCGGGUGUAGCGGUGGAAUGCGAAGAUAUCAGGAGGAAUACCGGUGGCGAAGGCGGGUCUCUGGGCUGUUACUGACGCUGAGGAGCGAAAGCGUGGGGAGCGAACAGG
RNAcentral lists this ribosomal RNA (420 nucleotides) under Fusobacteriota bacterium. RNAcentral's name for it is "Fusobacteria bacterium partial 16S ribosomal RNA". It matches the Rfam family "Bacterial small subunit ribosomal RNA", at positions 355 to 776 of the family's 1533-position model. Lineage: Bacteria; Fusobacteriati; Fusobacteriota. The record is from RNAcentral.